This 233-nucleotide ribosomal RNA is filed under the name uncultured bacterium. Its description in RNAcentral is "partial 16S ribosomal RNA". It matches the Rfam family "Bacterial small subunit ribosomal RNA", at positions 103 to 334 of the family's 1533-position model. The record is from RNAcentral.
CGGGUGAGUAAUGCGUGAGGAACCUGCCUCAAAGAGGGGGACAACAGUUGGAAACGACUGCUAAUACCGCAUAAGCCCACGGCUCGGCAUCGAGCAGAGGGAAAAGGAGCAAUCCGCUUUGAGAUGGCCUCGCGUCCGAUUAGCUAGUUGGUGAGGUAACGGCCCACCAAGGCGACGAUCGGUAGCCGGACUGGGAGGUUGAACGGCCACAUUGGGACUGAGACACGGCCCAG